Molecule: unclassified non-coding RNA, 524 nt
Filed under: uncultured Glomeromycotina
Lineage: Eukaryota; Fungi; Glomeromycota
Description: bacterial SSU rRNA
Rfam family: Eukaryotic small subunit ribosomal RNA
Source: RNAcentral
CAGCCCGGUAAUUCCAGCUCCAAUAGCGUAUAUUAAAGUUGUUGCGGUUAAAAAGCUCGUAGUUGAAUUUCGGAAUUGAUGCAUCGGUCGUGCCUUAAGGGGCAUGAACUGGUGUAGCCAAUUUCUCAUCUUCUGGUGAAUUGUGAUGUUCUUAAUUGGGUGUCUCAAUGAACUGGAAUUUUUACUUUGAAAAAAUUAGAGUGUUUAAAGCAGGCAGUGAUUUGCUUGAAUACAUUAGCAUGGAAUAAUGAAAUAGGACGGUGGUUCUGUUUUGUUGGUUUCUAGGAUCACGUAAUGAUUAAUAGGGACAGUUGGGGGCAUUAGUAUUCAAUUGUCAGAGGUGAAAUUCUUGGAUUUAUUGAAGACUAACUAUUGCGAAAGCAUUUGCCAAGGAUGUUUUCAUUAAUCAAGAACGAAAGUUAGGGGAUCAAAGAUGAUUAAGUAUGUCGUAGUCCUAACCAUAAACUAUGCCGACUAGGAAUCAGACGAUGUUAAUUUUUUAAUGACUCGUUUGGUACCUUACG